GAUCCUGGCUCAGGACGAACGCUGGCGGCGUGCCUAACACAUGCAAGUCGAACGGAGAUGUUUAUUUCGGUAGAUAUCUUAGUGGCGCACGGGUGAGUAACGCGUGAAUAACCUGACCCGAAGAGGGGGAUAACACCUGGAAACAAGUGCUAAUACCGCAUAAGACCACGGACCGGCAUCGGUCAGAGGUCAAAGGAGGAAUCCGCUUUGGGAGGGGUUCGCGUCCCAUUAGGUAGUUGGUGAGGUAACGGCCCACCAAGCCG
This 263-nucleotide ribosomal RNA is filed under the name uncultured bacterium. RNAcentral describes it as "partial 16S ribosomal RNA". It matches the Rfam family "Bacterial small subunit ribosomal RNA", at positions 15 to 275 of the family's 1533-position model. The record is from RNAcentral.